RNAcentral lists this transfer RNA (71 nucleotides) under Stolephorus insularis. RNAcentral's name for it is "tRNA-Tyr". It matches the Rfam family "tRNA". Rfam says of the family: Transfer RNA (tRNA) molecules are approximately 80 nucleotides in length. Their secondary structure includes four short double-helical elements and three loops (D, anti-codon, and T loops). Lineage: Eukaryota; Metazoa; Chordata; Actinopteri; Clupeiformes; Engraulidae. The record is from RNAcentral.
GGUAGGUUGGCCGAGCGUUUAGGUGGCGGAUUGUAGCUCCGCUAACAGAGGUUCAAGUCCUCUUCCUACCA